Molecule: ribosomal RNA, 2600 nt
Filed under: Staphylococcus aureus M0424
Lineage: Bacteria; Bacillati; Bacillota; Bacilli; Caryophanales; Staphylococcaceae
Description: bacterial LSU rRNA
Rfam family: Bacterial large subunit ribosomal RNA
Source: RNAcentral
AAAGGACGACAUUAGACGAAUCAUCUGGAAAGAUGAAUCAAAGAAGGUAAUAAUCCUGUAGUCGAAAAUGUUGUCUCUCUUGAGUGGAUCCUGAGUACGACGGAGCACGUGAAAUUCCGUCGGAAUCUGGGAGGACCAUCUCCUAAGGCUAAAUACUCUCUAGUGACCGAUAGUGAACCAGUACCGUGAGGGAAAGGUGAAAAGCACCCCGGAAGGGGAGUGAAAUAGAACCUGAAACCGUGUGCUUACAAGUAGUCAGAGCCCGUUAAUGGGUGAUGGCGUGCCUUUUGUAGAAUGAACCGGCGAGUUACGAUUUGAUGCAAGGUUAAGCAGUAAAUGUGGAGCCGUAGCGAAAGCGAGUCUGAAUAGGGCGUUUAGUAUUUGGUCGUAGACCCGAAACCAGGUGAUCUACCCUUGGUCAGGUUGAAGUUCAGGUAACACUGAAUGGAGGACCGAACCGACUUACGUUGAAAAGUGAGCGGAUGAACUGAGGGUAGCGGAGAAAUUCCAAUCGAACCUGGAGAUAGCUGGUUCUCUCCGAAAUAGCUUUAGGGCUAGCCUCAAGUGAUGAUUAUUGGAGGUAGAGCACUGUUUGGACGAGGGGCCCCUCUCGGGUUACCGAAUUCAGACAAACUCCGAAUGCCAAUUAAUUUAACUUGGGAGUCAGAACAUGGGUGAUAAGGUCCGUGUUCGAAAGGGAAACAGCCCAGACCACCAGCUAAGGUCCCAAAAUAUAUGUUAAGUGGAAAAGGAUGUGGCGUUGCCCAGACAACUAGGAUGUUGGCUUAGAAGCAGCCAUCAUUUAAAGAGUGCGUAAUAGCUCACUAGUCGAGUGACACUGCGCCGAAAAUGUACCGGGGCUAAACAUAUUACCGAAGCUGUGGAUUGUCCUUUGGACAAUGGUAGGAGAGCGUUCUAAGGGCGUUGAAGCAUGAUCGUAAGGACAUGUGGAGCGCUUAGAAGUGAGAAUGCCGGUGUGAGUAGCGAAAGACGGGUGAGAAUCCCGUCCACCGAUUGACUAAGGUUUCCAGAGGAAGGCUCGUCCGCUCUGGGUUAGUCGGGUCCUAAGCUGAGGCCGACAGGCGUAGGCGAUGGAUAACAGGUUGAUAUUCCUGUACCACCUAUAAUCGUUUUAAUCGAUGGGGGGACGCAGUAGGAUAGGCGAAGCGUGCGAUUGGAUUGCACGUCUAAGCAGUAAGGCUGAGUAUUAGGCAAAUCCGGUACUCGUUAAGGCUGAGCUGUGAUGGGGAGAAGACAUUGUGUCUUCGAGUCGUUGAUUUCACACUGCCGAGAAAAGCCUCUAGAUAGAAAAUAGGUGCCCGUACCGCAAACCGACACAGGUAGUCAAGAUGAGAAUUCUAAGGUGAGCGAGCGAACUCUCGUUAAGGAACUCGGCAAAAUGACCCCGUAACUUCGGGAGAAGGGGUGCUCUUUAGGGUUAACGCCCAGAAGAGCCGCAGUGAAUAGGCCCAAGCGACUGUUUAUCAAAAACACAGGUCUCUGCUAAACCGUAAGGUGAUGUAUAGGGGCUGACGCCUGCCCGGUGCUGGAAGGUUAAGAGGAGUGGUUAGCUUCUGCGAAGCUACGAAUCGAAGCCCCAGUAAACGGCGGCCGUAACUAUAACGGUCCUAAGGUAGCGAAAUUCCUUGUCGGGUAAGUUCCGACCCGCACGAAAGGCGUAACGAUUUGGGCACUGUCUCAACGAGAGAUUCGGUGAAAUCAUAGUACCUGUGAAGAUGCAGGUUACCCGCGACAGGACGGAAAGACCCCGUGGAGCUUUACUGUAGCCUGAUAUUGAAAUUCGGCACAGCUUGUACAGGAUAGGUAGGAGCCUUUGAAACGUGAGCGCUAGCUUACGUGGAGGCGCUGGUGGGAUACUACCCUAGCUGUGUUGGCUUUCUAACCCGCACCACUUAUCGUGGUGGGAGACAGUGUCAGGCGGGCAGUUUGACUGGGGCGGUCGCCUCCUAAAAGGUAACGGAGGCGCUCAAAGGUUCCCUCAGAAUGGUUGGAAAUCAUUCAUAGAGUGUAAAGGCAUAAGGGAGCUUGACUGCGAGACCUACAAGUCGAGCAGGGUCGAAAGACGGACUUAGUGAUCCGGUGGUUCCGCAUGGAAGGGCCAUCGCUCAACGGAUAAAAGCUACCCCGGGGAUAACAGGCUUAUCUCCCCCAAGAGUUCACAUCGACGGGGAGGUUUGGCACCUCGAUGUCGGCUCAUCGCAUCCUGGGGCUGUAGUCGGUCCCAAGGGUUGGGCUGUUCGCCCAUUAAAGCGGUACGCGAGCUGGGUUCAGAACGUCGUGAGACAGUUCGGUCCCUAUCCGUCGUGGGCGUAGGAAAUUUGAGAGGAGCUGUCCUUAGUACGAGAGGACCGGGAUGGACAUACCUCUGGUGUACCAGUUGUCGUGCCAACGGCAUAGCUGGGUAGCUAUGUGUGGACGGGAUAAGUGCUGAAAGCAUCUAAGCAUGAAGCCCCCCUCAAGAUGAGAUUUCCCAACUUCGGUUAUAAGAUCCCUCAAAGAUGAUGAGGUUAAUAGGUUCGAGGUGGAAGCAUGGUGACAUGUGGAGCUGACGAAUACUAAUCGAUCGAAGACUUAAUCAA